Molecule: unclassified non-coding RNA, 304 nt
Filed under: plant metagenome
Description: partial contains 5.8S ribosomal RNA, internal transcribed spacer 2, and large subunit ribosomal RNA
Rfam family: 5.8S ribosomal RNA (bases 1-105)
Source: RNAcentral
GAAAUGCGAUAAGUAAUGUGAAUUGCAGAAUUCAGUGAAUCAUCGAAUCUUUGAACGCACAUUGCGCCCGCCAGUAUUCUGGCGGGCAUGCCUGUUCGAGCGUCAUUUCAACCAUCAAGCCCCCCGGCUUGUGUUGGGGACCUGCGGCUGCCGCAGGCCCUGAAAAGCAGUGGCGGGCUCGCUGUCACACCGAGCGUAGUAGCAUACAUCUCGCUCUGGGCGUGCUGCGGGUUCCGGCCGUUAAACCACCUUCGUAACCCAAGGUUGACCUCGGAUCAGGUAGGAAGACCCGCUGAACUUACGC